UACAGAGGUGGCAAGCGUUGUUCGGAAUUACUGGGCGUAAAGGGCGCGUAGGCGGUCUUCUAAGUCUUGUGUGAAAUCCCUCGGCUUAACUGAGGAACUGCACGGGAUACUGGAUGACUUGAGUUCGGGAGAGGGAAGCGGAAUUCCGGGUGUAGCGGUGAAAUGCGUAGAUAUCGGGAGGAACACCAGUGGCGAAGGCGGCGACCUGGGCCAAUAUUGACGCUGAGGUGCGAAAGCGUGGGGAGCAAACAGG
Molecule: ribosomal RNA, 253 nt
Filed under: uncultured bacterium
Lineage: Bacteria
Description: partial 16S ribosomal RNA
Rfam family: Bacterial small subunit ribosomal RNA
Source: RNAcentral